RNAcentral lists this transfer RNA (64 nucleotides) under Gallinago gallinago (common snipe). Its description in RNAcentral is "tRNA-Ser". Lineage: Eukaryota; Metazoa; Chordata; Aves; Charadriiformes; Scolopacidae. The record is from RNAcentral. RNAcentral also lists the same sequence under 2 other names.
AGGGGAGGUUCAACCACUAAGAACUGCUAACUCUUACAUCUGAGUCUAAAACCUCAGUCCCCUU